ACUGGGAGCUUAUGUUCAUGUGGUGUUCAAUGUCAUCACAAACUUUCCCCUCGGGAUAUUACUGGGAUGGAGGCCCACAGAAACCACAGAUGGAGAGAGGGUGAAGCAAGCUUUAACACCGAAUGCUGACUCAAACCGAGGCUUCUCCCAUGAGAAACAGCCAACCAAAAAGGUGCAAAGACGCCCUAACACUUCAUUAAACCAGGCUGUGAAGAAAAUGGCAAAGUUUACAGCUUAACAGCAUGCAACUUUGUCUUUGCAUCUUGGCUUUUCUUUUUAUUAAAACACCUAUGGAAA
Molecule: long non-coding RNA, 297 nt
Organism: Austrofundulus limnaeus
Lineage: Eukaryota; Metazoa; Chordata; Actinopteri; Cyprinodontiformes; Rivulidae
Exons: 2
Source: RefSeq, a predicted model, not a curated record